RNAcentral lists this ribosomal RNA (239 nucleotides) under uncultured bacterium. RNAcentral's name for it is "partial 16S ribosomal RNA". It matches the Rfam family "Bacterial small subunit ribosomal RNA", at positions 116 to 354 of the family's 1533-position model. The record is from RNAcentral.
CGUGAGUAACCUGCCUUGGAGUGGGGAAUAACAGCUGGAAACAGCUGCUAAUACCGCAUAAUGCAGUUGGGUCGCAUGGCUCUGACUGCCAAAGAUUUAUCGCUCUGAGAUGGACUCGCGUCUGAUUAGCUAGUUGGCGGGGCAACGGCCCACCAAGGCGACGAUCAGUAGCCGGACUGAGAGGUUGGCCGGCCACAUUGGGACUGAGACACGGCCCAGACUCCUACGGGAGGCAGCAG